AGUGAACGCUGGCGGUAGGCCUAACACAUGCAAGUCGAACGGCAGCACAGUAAGAGCUUGCUCUUACGGGUGGCGAGUGGCGGACGGGUGAGGUAUACAUCGGAAUCUACUUUUUCGUGGGGGAUAACGUAGGGAAACUUACGCUAAUACCGCAUACGACCUACGGGUGAAAGCAUGGGAUCUUCGGACCUUGCGCGAUUGAAUGAGCCGAUGUCGGAUUAGCUAGUUGGCGGGGUAAAGGCCCACCAAGGCGACGAUCCGUAGCUGGUCUGAGAGGAUGAUCGGCCACACUGGAACUUAGACACGGUCCAGAGUCCUACGGGAGGCAGCAGUGGGGAAUAUUGGACAAUGGGCGCAAGCCUGAUCCAGCCAUACCGCGUGGGUGAAGAAGGCCUUCGGGUUGUAAAGCCCUUUUGUUGGGAAAGAAAAGCAGCAGGUUAAUACCCCGCUGUUCUGACGGUACCCAAAGAAUAAGCACCGGCUAACUUCGUG
RNAcentral lists this ribosomal RNA (492 nucleotides) under uncultured bacterium. Its description in RNAcentral is "partial 16S ribosomal RNA". It matches the Rfam family "Bacterial small subunit ribosomal RNA", at positions 29 to 507 of the family's 1533-position model. The record is from RNAcentral.